RNA transcript from Salvia splendens (bonfire salvia), 2130 nucleotides. It is a transcript of the gene named NAC domain-containing protein 82, with no coding region annotated. The record is from RefSeq and is a predicted model, not a curated record. The transcript has 9 exons. Lineage: Eukaryota; Viridiplantae; Streptophyta; Magnoliopsida; Lamiales; Lamiaceae.
CUUUUGCCUUAACUCUUAAGUCUUUGUAUUACCCACCCGUUUUCCCCCUCAGUUCCACCGGUUCGUCUCCCGUCGAGGGCUUGUAUUGCACACCAGAUGUCUUUUGAUUCCAACAAGAAGAAGCAUCAGAGGUUUUUGUGGUGUGCUUGCUGUUUCAUGAACCGGAGGAGACUGUGGUGCUCAUCGACGGUGUUGUUUCGGCAUUGGACUUGAAACAAGGUUUAAGUAGUUUAAGGUUGGAGGACUGAGGUUUGGGAUUGAGAGAUUGUUCUUGGUGGGGAGAGGUUUUCAGUAACAUAAUUGGUGAAAGUUUACUUCAGUAGUUGGAUUAUUAGGUGUUCUGUUAUCACAAUGCGUCAGCGUCUCGGCCCUGGAUUCCGUUUCCAUCCAACUGAUGUUGAGUUGGUUUUGUACUAUCUCAAGAGGAAAAUUUUGGGUAAGAAGCUUCUCUGUGAGCCUAUUGCGGAGGUCAACAUCUACAAAUACUCUCCAUGGGAUCUUCCAGAUAAAUCUUGCUUGAAAACUAAAGAUUUAGAGUGGUUCUUUUUCUGUCCAAGAGAGAAGAAGUAUGCAAGUGGGGCACGUGUCAAGCGUGCAACUAAAGAUGGUUUUUGGAAAACUACUGGAAAAGGCAGGCCUAUUUCUCACAAUGGGAGAAUUGUUGGAGCUGUAAACACCUUGAUAUUUCACCAGGGUCAUGCCCCGCAUGGAAGAAGAACGGAUUGGGUUAUGCACGAGUAUAAGCUCAUUGAUAAUGAGUUGGCUGCAGCUGGAGUUCAGGAUAAUUAUGUUGUGUGUAAAGUUUUUGAGAAGAAUGGACCAGGCCCCAAAAAUGGCGCACAGUAUGGUGCCCCUUUCAAUCCAGCUGAUUGGACUGAUGAUGAUGACGAUGUUGCUGAGAACCAUUCUAUACCCCAGGCAGCUGAAGCUCCUUCACAAACUGCAUGGAUGCAGAAUGAAGAGCAUAGUUUGCCUCUUGGAAGCGGAUUGCUUGACUCUGGAAAUGGACCACUACCUAUGCUUGAAGAAGGUCCAUCAUCUUCAGUGGUUGCUCCAACUAGUAUUGUAGCUGCAGACGAGACCAAUGAUGAGAUUGAUAGUAUGCUUGCCUGCUUUGUCGAUGAAGACAUGCUGCUUCCUGAUGGGAAUGGAUUCAAUCAGGAUGAUCUUAGUGGCAAUGGAAACAACAGAUUGUUACCUUGUAGUGGGGGCUUGGAUAUAUACAAUCAUCUUCAUGACUUGGAUGGUUGGAGAAAGAUCAAUGAGGGCAGAUAUGACUUCUCUGGAUCACAGAAUGUUGACUAUCCACUCUACAUGCUUCCCGUAGACAAUUCAACAUAUAUAGAACUCGAUGAUCUUCGGCUCCCAUUGGAUUGCUCAAAUGGAGUUACUGGAGCUCAUUUCUCAUCAAGUGGCCUGGGGUCUGCAUCUUAUGGCCAUGAGAAUAUUCAUCAAUUAAACUCUAUAACUGGGUUUGCCGGCAUAGGGGAUCAGCAUCUUUCAUUUGCAAAUGAGCUGUCUGUGUUGCCAAAUACAUCCGGGGGUGAUAUUUCUUUGGAUGUGCUUCAGAUGGUGGACAAUCCAUUUUACCAGGUAACUAAUGAUUCACAUAAUUCAGACUUCUCAUUUGGGCAACUGGGGAAUCCGGUCUGUUCUCCUCCCAACACUGAAAGAGUCAAUUAUAUAAAGUCAAACUGCCUGAACUUGCCAAUUUCGGGAGAUAUAAAUGCAAUUUUUCAAAAUCCCUUCCGGAAUGCUGCAAGCUUGCGGAACAGGGAUUGUACCUAUGACUAGGCAUGGGCUACUCAUUCUUGUGUUACCAGGACUCCGGUGUCUUUUCUGGACCACUGAGGUGGCACAAGUAGGGGGAAAGACAAUUUAGUUUCUUUCACAUGUUUUAUGUAAAAUUUUGGGAUCUUGCUAUGUAAAUGUAGCAUGUAUUGGGAGGUUGCAUGACCUUCCCAACUAUUGUGUUGAUGGAUGCUGCAGGAUUACAUUUAGAAUACCAUUAUUCAAGAUUUAUGGAACGCAUUCCAGCUCACUUACCUACAGUUGCUAAGAUUCUCGCUCUUUGUUCUUGUGGUGGCUCCUCCAUACAUAUCAAGGCUGAGGUGACUCACAGAGCUGGUG